AAACAGACCUGGAAUUUGUUUUUUUAAAUAUUUAUUUAUUUUUAGUUUUCAGCAGACACAACAUCUUUGUUUGUAUGUGGUGCUGAGGAUCGAACCCGGGCCACACACAUGCCAGGCGAGCGMGCUACCACUUGAGCCACAUCUCCAGCCCCCAGACCUGGAAUUUAAAUGUUCUGUGAUGGUUGUUUGAAACCGAAAAUGCUGUCUGAGGCUAACUUUUUGAGCAGUUAGCUUCUGAAUUCAGCCCCGAAGUGAAGGCUUCAACUUCAAAUAUGGCAUUGAUGAAUUAUUGAAGAAAUUACAAUUGCAGCYGGUGUUUCUGCAAAGCAUUGUGAGGCAGCUAGCUUCUUCUCUAGCAGAUAUGGUUUCCAAACGCCUCAUGUGAUGUCCAGAGUUCAGAGUUAUUCACCUCUGAAUACUCACUCAGCAAUGAAGAAAGUUAUGUGGUCAGCAGAAAUAACUAUCUUGACGUAGCAAUUCAGGGAACAUCUAUUUUAAAUCUGUCCCUUGGAAAUUUCACGAAUGAUUUAUCAAAGUCAUAUAUGAUCUAUAACUGUUUCCUUGAGAUAAAUUCUUAGGGGUAGAAUGGCAGGAUCAGAGAGUAUAAAAAGUGUGAGACUUGUAGGAAAGACGGUGGAAUGAGAUGGACAUCAUUACCCUAAGUACAUGUAUGAAGACACAAAUGGCGUGAUUCUACUUUGUGUACAACCAGAGAAAUGAAAAAUUGUGCUCUAUAUGUGUACUAUGAAUUGAAAUGCAUUCUGCUGUCAUGUAUAAUGAAUUAAAAUAAGUAAAUAAAUA
This 801-nucleotide long non-coding RNA is filed under the name Urocitellus parryii (Arctic ground squirrel). Its description in RNAcentral is "lncRNA (ENSUPAG00010004174.1)". The record is from RNAcentral. Lineage: Eukaryota; Metazoa; Chordata; Mammalia; Rodentia; Sciuridae.